GUAAUAUUUCAUGAUUUCAGAUGGCGUGUCCGCGUGUUGUUUACAAACAGAACAACUGCAUUCAAUAACUUUUUAAAAAGUUACAUCGACCUGUAACAUACUCGCCAAUGUAGUUGUCACACGAUGUGUGGAGAACUUUAUUCUUUAAAUUAGCAAACUCGAGAUGAAUUAGGUAAAGUGUGUAUUUACCUACUUUCACUUUUACUGAUAUCCGCCAUUUAGUUUAACUAACCUUUUGCUCUCGCUUAAAAUUUUAACGAGCCCAAAUACGUUCGAACCCUGCAAUAACACGGUUGCGAACUGUAAAACGGUAAUCAUUCGAGAACAGCAGUUUUACGAUAUUAAUUAUCUUAAAAUUGCUGUAUUCAACCUAUUACCAAUACAAACAGACUAAAUUCCUCGACAUUUUCAUUAAAAAGUUACUUGUACGACAGCGUUAGUUUACAUUUUAUCAAAACUGUCGAUAUAUGUAUUUGACAACAUGCAACCAAAAAUCUUACCAAUGUACUUAAAACUUCAAAAGACGGACCAAAUCAAAUAUAAAUUGUUGAAAGCGUGCAGGAAUACGAGUAUAGUAUUGUAUUACGCGAUUAUAGUGAUUUAUAUUGCAAAAUGUUAUACCAGAGAAUGAUCAAAAAAGCAAAUAAUAAUAAAUAAUGCUUGAAGCUAUAUGGUCAAAGAUACUCAAAAAUGGUGAUAUAUAAAGUGUUGCAAGUAAAAUAAUAGGAUGGAAUAUAACUUGUGUCGUCUGCUUGGAUUUACUUAAAACAGGUGAUCACAACACGAAGAUGAGGAUCGAAGAUGUUGGCCGUAUAAAAAGUAGUUCCCUAGCAAUGCCUGCCAGUACAAGUACAGCAGAGAGAUAAUAAGGCACGUACGAAAUACCAAAGGAAUCUUACACCUGUCAAGAUGAAUAUAUACCGUGAGAGGCCCAACAGUGCCGGAUUUGUAGCUGAUGAUUUGUCGAGGAGGAUGGAAUGGAUAUUAGAAAUAUUCCGUGAGAGGUCCAAUAGUGCCGAGUUUGUAGCUGAUGAAUUGUCGAGGAGGAUGGAAUGGAGAUAAGAAAUCUUUAUAUUUCAAUGAUCAAGGAACAGAGUAACAGACUUGCGAUUUUGCAGAGAAGCGCAGCCUUACAAGACUUAAAGGAAGCCAAAACGUACCAUCAAGCAGAGCUGUCGCAAACGAAACCAGGUCACGUGUUUAACCGAAUGCUGCAGGCGCCCUGUUUUAUAAAAUGUUAAGUGUAAAUUGUUCGUCAGACUGGAACUAUUUGAGAAACUGAAACAUUUCAUUCCAAAUGUGAAUCGGCUGACAUAUAAACCCCUAUGAGCAUGCCCUGCAAAGUUCUCUUCCAUACCAGUUUCCAUAUAAAACAAGCUUCGUCGUUGCCAGCAACACAUGUCGUCGACGUCCAAAACAAAUAAACAUAGAAAGCAAUUAUUACAUAUCUCGUCUCCUUAUUUCCACAAUGCCGUGACUAGCUCUUUGAUAGUUUUUGAAAACGGCGUUUAAAGUUUAAGUGUCAAUGACUUUACACUACCCACAGGCUACAGCCUUGUUGAACUGAAAUUUAACCUGUUUAAUUUCAUUUCUACAAGGCCACAAAUACACCAUCAUACUGAAGUCAUAGAGACAAUGUCAUACCUAUUGCCAUUAAAAUCUCCAUUUUGCCAAACAUGGAUUUACGGCACUCUGAAAUUAAGGCGACGACCUUAUUAUAAAGAGUAACAACUUCUCAGAAUGAUUGGAAACAUCCCCUAAAAUGCUACGUAUAAGAUAAGGGGUCACGUCAGACUACUUUAGUCUGUCUGGGCCUUGCUUUCAUUCUUUUAACCCUUAGCCUGCUGGCGGCAAGUGAUUCUGCCUUUGCGACCAGUGCAGACCAAGAUCAGCCUGCACAUCCGCACUGUUCGCUAUUUAGUCAGUAAAUUUUCAGUGAACACCCCUUCGAAUAAUAAAUGGUAUUGUCCAAAUUGAAUGAUGGACCAUUCCAUUUGAGAAAUUUAGCAGGGUAAGGGUUAAUGAAAGGAGAAGUCUUUAUUUAACCAGUAUUUAGCUCGGACCCCGUGGUAUUUAGGUGACAGCAUUUUAGCUACUUUAUAGACAAGAAGUUAAUGGCACUUGAAACUCGGGUUUCACCCUAAGGUCAAUAAAAAUUUACUAGUGGCAAUAACCUCUUCUUGAACGCCACUGCCGUUUAUUAAUAAUGUAUGAUUGUACAUAGAUUAGCUUAUAGACUAUGCUAUUUUUUAUUCUAAUUUCUUAAAGAUGUGAAUAGAGCCAGUCUAUAUCCUAGGUCAAAUAUCAUUACAAUCAGUUCAUGAAAAAGACUGACAUUUGUCACUACAAAAUAAGCUAAAAGAAAAAUUCAAAAAAUCUAAAGUCUUGUGAUAAAUUCUUUAUUAUCAGUCUAUAUUGUACAGUAGUUUGAAUGUAGCGCAUAAGUUAAGUAUAAACUACUAUUUUUGUCUUACAGAAAAUUUGUCUAGCAUUGGCAGCCAAUUAAAGAAGUACUCACCAAUAAAACGGAUUGAUUCUGGAACCUUCAGUCACGUGGUACUGACACGUAUAAAGCUCAACACGUGUAACAGAAAGGUUGCAAUACAAAUCACACAGGUAGAUUAGGUUCCCUACAAUAAAUUGCUACACGAAAUAGAUAUGAGCCGUGCCAUGAGAAAACCAACAUAGUGGG
This is a long non-coding RNA of Mercenaria mercenaria, 2692 nucleotides long. RefSeq lists it as uncharacterized. The transcript has 6 exons. The record is from RefSeq and is a predicted model, not a curated record. Lineage: Eukaryota; Metazoa; Mollusca; Bivalvia; Venerida; Veneridae.